UACAGAGGGUGCGAGCGUUGUCCGGAAUCACUGGGCGUAAAGCGCACGUAGGCGGCUUUCUAAGUCAGGGGUGAAAUCCUGGAGCUCAACUCCAGAACUGCCUUUGAUACUGGAAAGCUUGAGUUCGGGAGAGGUGAGUGGAACUGCGAGUGUAGAGGUGAAAUUCGUAGAUAUUCGGAAGAACACCAGUGGCGAAGGCGGCUCACUGGACUGGUAUUGACGCUGAGGUGCGAAAGCGUGGGGGAGCAAACAGG
This 254-nucleotide ribosomal RNA is filed under the name uncultured bacterium. Its description in RNAcentral is "partial 16S ribosomal RNA". It matches the Rfam family "Bacterial small subunit ribosomal RNA", at positions 524 to 776 of the family's 1533-position model. The record is from RNAcentral.